GUGGAUGUAGCUUAGUGGUAUAGCACUUGCCUAGCAUGCGUGAAAUAUUAGGUUCAAUCCCCAACAUUGAAA
RNAcentral lists this transfer RNA (72 nucleotides) under Ictidomys tridecemlineatus (thirteen-lined ground squirrel). RNAcentral describes it as "Spermophilus tridecemlineatus (thirteen-lined ground squirrel) tRNA". It matches the Rfam family "tRNA". From Rfam's summary of the family: Transfer RNA (tRNA) molecules are approximately 80 nucleotides in length. The record is from Rfam by way of RNAcentral. Lineage: Eukaryota; Metazoa; Chordata; Mammalia; Rodentia; Sciuridae.